Hevea brasiliensis (rubber tree) is the source of this 358-nucleotide long non-coding RNA. RefSeq lists it as uncharacterized. The record is from RefSeq and is a predicted model, not a curated record. Lineage: Eukaryota; Viridiplantae; Streptophyta; Magnoliopsida; Malpighiales; Euphorbiaceae. The transcript has 2 exons.
ACUUCAAAUUGUGUUUCUCAGUUAACAAGGACUCAGCAAAAGGGAAGGAAACACUGAGUCCAGAUCAGGGAGACAGUCAUCAGAGGUAAGAAGAGCAUAGAGCAGUAAGUAAAUUUCGUUGAAGAUAUAUUCGGAUCAGCUCCAGGUAUAUCAUAGGUAUACCCAUGUACAUAGGUUUUGAUGUAAGCAUGUAAUAAUAUGUAUGUAAAUUAUUUGAGCAGUUGUAUAUAAAACUCUUGUAAAAUAUUUUGGUAUGUAAUUAAAUGUAAAUUAUUGUAAAUGUAAAUUUGGGAUUUCAAUUAUCUGAAUAGUUUGUAAUAUAAAUUUUGAGUCUUGAAAUGAAUGAGAUAUUUCUUUA